CUUUUAAUUACAAAGCAUGUGUGAUGUGUAAUGGGUGGCCUUUUAUUUCAAGGGAUGUAAUACAGUUGCUAUGGCAAGCUUUUUAAUAAGCAAAUUUUUUACACUCUACACACGAUAAGUUGUAUUUUUCCCUUAUUCUUUCCACUAGGAAUUUCCAUUUUUUACCUUGACGGCAUUUCCUCCUGGAUUCCUUGUACACGUUGGGGGUGUAGUUAGUGCACGUUCUGUGAAGCUUUUGGAUCGUAUCCACAAUCCUGAUGAACCAGAAACUCGAGAUGCAUGGUGGGCAGAAAUCAGACAAGAAAUAAAAUCACAUGCUAAAGCAUUAGGCUGUCAUGCUGUAGUGGGCUACAGUGAAUCAACUAGCAUCUGUGAAGAGGUCUGCAUUUUAUCUGCAUCUGGCACAGCGGCUGUACUGAAUCCUAGAUUUCUGCAGGAUGGCACCGUGGAAGGCUGUUUGGAACAGAGGCUUGAAGAAAAUUUGCCUACACGUUGUGGAUUUUGUCAUAUACCAUAUGAUGAACUGAAUAUGCCAUUUCCAGCUCAUCUCACAUAUUGCUAUAACUGCAGGAAACAAAAAGUUCCUGAUGUUCUGUUUACAACUAUAGACCUCCCAACAGAUGCAACAGUUAUUGGAAAAGGUUGUCUUAUUCAAGCAAGGUUAUGUCGCUUAAAAAAGAAAGCACAGGCAGAAGCAAAUGCUACAGCUAUCAGUAAUCUCUUGCCAUUUAUGGAAUAUGAAGUGCAUACUCAGCUAAUGAAUAAACUAAAACUCAAAGGAAUGAAUGCUUUGUUUGGACUAAGAAUUCAGAUCACAGUGGGUGAAAAUAUGUUGAUGGGCU
RNAcentral lists this long non-coding RNA (842 nucleotides) under Homo sapiens (human). RNAcentral describes it as "non-protein coding lnc-ST8SIA1-6:1". The record is from RNAcentral. Lineage: Eukaryota; Metazoa; Chordata; Mammalia; Primates; Hominidae.